This is a non-coding RNA of Pelobates cultripes (western spadefoot toad), 1495 nucleotides long. NCBI's taxonomy places the organism in Eukaryota, Metazoa, Chordata, Amphibia, Anura, Pelobatidae. The record is from the annotation of a GenBank genome assembly.
CUGAUCGGUAGGAACAUACAGAAAUGAUGUUUAUUCAUAGCAUUUUGUUUUCAGUUUCUAAUUGUGUGAAUAAACUGUGAACAUUUGAUGGCAAUUUUGUAUUUCAGAAAUGAAGAUUCUGGAAGAGGGAAAAUAUUCAAGGCACGUGCUUCACUGCUGGAGUAAGUAGAGAUUUUAAAGGGACACUACAACUUCUGAUUCUUUGUAAUGCAUAAUGCAAAAAAAAAAAAAAAGCAUAAUACAUACAAAGAUACCACUUGGAUUUUGUAUAUCAAUUUGCAGCAAAUCGACAGGCUUUACAACUCCUACAAAAAAAGUAUUCUUAUUUUAUUUCAUCCUGGAGUUUUAAGAUAUUGUGUUUUUAAGGAGACAGAAACAAAGUACCUCACUGAUCCAUUAUCCAGGCAGAGAGCAUAAUGUUUGAGUUUUGGAGUGGCUCUAUAAGGAAGGUUAACUACCAACUAUCUUUUUUCUAACAAAUGUCUCCUGCCUUACCCCAAACCUUGGUAGUGACCUUCAAUAUUCAAUAUUGCUCCAAGCUGAAUAUAGGUUGGCAUUGGUUUGUUAGUACGUUAAAUUGCAUGAUUUAAAUACAAAUAUGAUGCUAGAUUGCAUCCUAUAAAAUGUAACUGUUUUAUAUAUAUUUAUUAUAUAUUUAGUGGAAUCUUGUAAAAAAUUUGUAAUGCGGAAUAUUAAAAAGCAACUUUCAUUGUUUUGUUAAUAUUAAAGGAUCACUAUAGUGUAAGGAAAACAAAGCCGUUUUCCUGACACUAUAGUGCCCUGAGGGUGCCCCCACCCUCAGGGUCCCCGUCCCGUGGUGCUGAAGGGGUUAAAACCCAUUCAGUUACUACUUUAAUCCAGCGCCAGGCUCCCUUGGUGCUGGUGACCUCUCCUCCCCGUCCGACGUCAGCUCCCCCGUCCGACGUCAGUGGGGCCGCAUGCGCGGCAAGUGUCCGCACACGCGCAUUUAAAGUGUCCAUAGGAAAGCUUUUCUCAAUGCUUUCCUAUGGAAAGCUCUGCACGAUGGAUGCAAAAUUUGCAUCCAGCGUUGCAGCUGCGCCUCUAGUGACGGUCCGGAAGACAGCCACAAGAGGCUGGAUUAACCCUGCUAUGUAAACAUACCAUUUUCUCUGAAACUGCUAUGUUUUCAUCUGAAGGGUUAAAACCUGAGGGACUUGGCACCCAGACCACUUCAUUGAGCUGAAGUGGUCUGGGUGACUAUAGUGUCCUUUAACUUUACGUGAGUCCCUGCUGAUUUACAGCACUAAGUAUUAACAUGCAGUAUAUAAAGUUGAAGUAUCAUCAAUGUUUAGGAUGCUGCCAAUACACACAGUAUCUGCUUUUAUGUCUAAUAAGAUAAUAUCUGUUAUUUGCUGUUUUAUCUCAGUGAACUGAUGGAGGUGGAACACUUUCGCACUAUUUAUCACAUGUUUGCGGCAGCAUUUUGCGUCUUUGUUAUCAGCACCGUGGCUGUGGAUUCUAUUGACCAGGGCAG